RNAcentral lists this ribosomal RNA (330 nucleotides) under uncultured eukaryote. Its description in RNAcentral is "partial 18S ribosomal RNA". It matches the Rfam family "Eukaryotic small subunit ribosomal RNA", at positions 1470 to 1796 of the family's 1831-position model. The record is from RNAcentral.
CCCUUAGAUGUUCUGGGCCGCACGCGUGCUACACUGAUGCAUUCAACGAGUCUAAAACCUGGUCUGAUAGGGCUGGGUAAUCUUUUGAAAGUGCAUCGUGAUUGGGAUAGAUGAUUGCAAUUCUUCAUCUUCAACGAGGAAUGCCUAGUAAACGCAAGUCAUCAGCUUGCAUUGAUUACGUCCCUGCCCUUUGUACACGCCGCCCGUCGCUCCUACCGAUUGAAUGAUCCGAUGAAUACCAUGGAUUGAGAGUACGAAUAGGUUCGCUUAUUUCUGCUGCUCGAGAAGUGGAGUAAAUCUUAUCAUUUAGAGGAAGGAGAAGUCGUAACA